GUCUAUAGCUAUGCUACCCUGAACAAGCUCGAUCCUGUCUGAUCUCGGAAGCUAAGCAGAGUCGGACUUGGUUAGUACUUGGAUGGAAGACGCUAAGCAGAGUCGGACC
This 109-nucleotide ribosomal RNA is filed under the name Pteropus alecto (black flying fox). The record is from RNAcentral. Lineage: Eukaryota; Metazoa; Chordata; Mammalia; Chiroptera; Pteropodidae.